Molecule: long non-coding RNA, 359 nt
Organism: Etheostoma spectabile (orangethroat darter)
Lineage: Eukaryota; Metazoa; Chordata; Actinopteri; Perciformes; Percidae
Exons: 2
Source: RefSeq, a predicted model, not a curated record
AUUAUAUCAGUUAUUUCAGGAUUUAGGAUUUUAUAUUAAAAGUUCAAAGCCACUGGAGUUUCUAUUGGGUGUUUUAUAAUCUUUAGUGGAUGUCACCACAGUAUAUUAAAGAUGCACUUUUGUUUUUCUUGGUCUCUCUGACUGUGAGUUCAGAUAGAAUGCAAAGAACUUUUUGCAACAAAAACUAUCCAGCGAUCAAAGUCAAAACAAUUGCUUAGCUUUCUGUCUGAAUACACCUUGAGGCAAAGCAAGCCAAACUGAACACAAAACAGACAUAUUACGGUCUUAUAAAGUUCAACAUUUAAUUAAUUUGAAGUCUCUGGUGCUUCUGGACACCUAAAAAACGUCCAAUUGUCACU